RNAcentral lists this transfer RNA (85 nucleotides) under Felis catus (domestic cat). It matches the Rfam family "tRNA". Rfam says of the family: Transfer RNA (tRNA) molecules are approximately 80 nucleotides in length. Their secondary structure includes four short double-helical elements and three loops (D, anti-codon, and T loops). Lineage: Eukaryota; Metazoa; Chordata; Mammalia; Carnivora; Felidae. The record is from Rfam by way of RNAcentral. RNAcentral also lists the same sequence under 2 other names.
GCCUGAGUAGCUCAGCCAGUUGAGCAUCUGACUUCAGCUCAGGUCAUGAUCUCACAGUUCGUGGGUUUGAGCUCCACAUCAGGCU